This is a non-coding RNA of Theobroma umbraticum, 552 nucleotides long. Lineage: Eukaryota; Viridiplantae; Streptophyta; Magnoliopsida; Malvales; Malvaceae. The record is from RefSeq and is a predicted model, not a curated record.
UUUCUCUAUUUAUAUGGGUCUUCAGGAGAUCCUCAAAUUCCCAAUAAUUGUGUAAGGGUUAGGGCUUUUAUUUCUUCUGUGUCUCCCCAAUUUUUCCGAUCUCUUAGAAUUUCAGACGCAAACCCUAACCCUAGAUUCCCAACCAUGUCGUCCAAGCAAGGUGGCAAAUUGAAGCCUUUGAAGCAAGCCAAAUCUGAAAAGAGAGAAUACGACGAGCACGAUUUGGCAAACAUUCAGAAAAAGAAGGAAGAAGAGAAGGCACUUAAAGAGCUGAGAGCGAAGGCACAACAGAAGGGGUCAUUUGGUGGUACUGGCCUGAAGAAGAGUGGGAAGAAAUGAGGGUCUAGAACCCAAACUGAAAUAGAUAAUAUUGAGUCUUGUGUUAUGAUCACAACUUAUAUUAUGAUGACAUAUCUUUCGUUUUAGUGUGAUGUCUAGAACAUCUAUUGGGAUGAUUUGAUGGUCUAGUUUCAUGCUGAAUUUGCUACAAACCUUGUGUUCAAUGUUAUUAUGUCAAGCAUAAAUAAAUUUAAGUUCUACUGUUGUGCUUUA